RNAcentral lists this long non-coding RNA (1333 nucleotides) under Equus asinus (donkey). RNAcentral's name for it is "lncRNA (ENSEASG00005032404.1)". The record is from RNAcentral. Lineage: Eukaryota; Metazoa; Chordata; Mammalia; Perissodactyla; Equidae.
GCCCCUUUUUCCUCCUUCACCCAAAUCCGCUCCAGCUGGUCGGGCUGGGCCCUUGCCCGGGAGGCCUGGAUGGUGGGCUGGGGGAAAGCAUCGUCCAAGCGGGGGAGGCAAUAGCGAAUUGUUCUACCUUCCGAAAAUCGCUCCACGUCGGCGGGUCCCCUCCCCCAUCCCUUGCAAACUCUGCUUGGGGCGCGGGCGAUGAAACCUGGGGGAGGGAGACUUCGGACUUGGGAAAAGCCACGUCUCCGUUCUCUACAAUUCUCCCCCACCCCCUCCUCCGAUGCCUCAUGUCUGGAGGGGGGGGCACGAGGAACGCUCCGCCAGGGUCGGCCUCAUGCGUCCCUCGGAUGCCUAGGCUUCCGCCUCCCGCAGGCCUCCAAGGUGUCAAGCCUCUGGACACUGGAUGCGGCAACCCUCCCCUCUCCCCCCUCCAUACACAUGCCCUGGGCGAAGGAGUCGCGAGGCCACCUCCCCAGGCCAUCCCUUUUGUGAAUGACAGCAUCAGCGGAUUUUAAAAAAGAGGAUUGGGGAGAAGAAAAGAGACGGAAGAAGAGGAGAGGAGAAAAAAGGAAAUUGAAGCAGAGAAGUAACAUAUAAUAAUCCUAGGCUUAAGCUAGAUUUAUUUUGGGGAAAGAUGAUUGUUCCUGAAAUGUUCUAAUUUCUUGUGUAUCUAGCUAUCCACUGCUGAUUGUAAGGAUUGCAAUCGUCAAUGACAGAUUUGCUUGCUUGGUUCUUUCUCUGAUGAAUCCAUUUAAUUCUGUGGCCACUGUGCCUUUCAUAGGAAGAGCUGCCUCACAGUCACAUGAGAAUAGAUCAAUUUUUGUUUGGCUCAUACGCAUCUUCUCAAAAUGAAUUAAGUAGAGUAAGUAGAAGAACUUUAAUAGGAUUGGAAGAUCAAAGAUGGUGAGAAGAUUUAAGUAUAUCGUCAGUACAUCAAGAAUAAUAAAAUUAAAUGUGUCUGAAAACAGAUGAUUCUAAGCAAUUUUGAUAGAGAUAGUCUCUUCCUCUCAAGUAACUUAAAAACCCUAAUUGGAUGAGCUGAUUUGGACAGUCAUCCCAGCCCCAGUGAAAUAAAUGUAUGGAAAGUAUAUAAAAAAUCCUUGUGCCUAUUUUGUUAUAUUGAAGUUCUCUUCAUGUGUCGUAUAUUCUCCAGCCAUCUUUCAAGAUCUACUACCGCUAAGAAGUCUUUGUACAUUUCUCUGAUUGCUGGGGUUCGCUCUAAAGCUCCUACAGAAGUUCUCCUCUGCAUCUCAAGAUUAGAUUUGGAAUCAUGUGCUGUCUUGUACUACUGGGUUUUUUUUCCCUUUUGCAUUUACUUUCCUUUCUCACGUAG